GCUGGUUGCCCGUGAACGAAUGUCAGUUCCCCCUUAAUUUUACCCCCCAGAAAAAUACAAUUACUCAUCCGUAAAAAUUAAGAGCAAUUUAAAGGAGGUACAGCUCCCUUAAAACAGAACACAACCUCCCCUAGAGGAUAAGCUAAGUACCCUUAAACCUGUAGGCCCUUAAGCAGCCACCAACAAAGAAUGCGUCAAAGCUCAACACACUAAAAAUAUAAGAACCCAUGCGACUCCCUCCCCCCUAACGGGCUAACCUAUUAAAAUAGGAGCAUUAAUGCUAGAAUAAGUAACUAAGGAACUUCCUUCUAAAGCACAAACUUACAUCUCACAUUAUUAACAGGCCUACUAAUAAACCAACCACUACAAGACCAACUAUCCAAUGCCCUGUUAGACCGACUCAGGCGUGCUAAAUUAGAAAGAUUUAAACCUGUAAAAGGAACUAGGCAAAUUCAAGGCCCGACUGUUUACCAAAAACAUAGCCUUCAGCAAAAAUACUCAAGUAUUGAAGGUGAUGCCUGCCCAGUGACAUUAAGUUUAACGGCCGCGGUAUCCUAACCGUGCAAAGGUAGCGCAAUCAAUUGUCUCAUAAAUUGAGACUUGUAUGAAUGGCCAAACGAGGUCUUAACUGUCUCUUACAGGUAAUCAGUGAAAUUGAUCUCCCCGUGCAAAAGCAGGGAUAAACCCAUAAGACGAGAAGACCCUGUGGAACUUAAAAACCAACAGUCACUCUACAAACACUACAAACCUAUCAGGUUUACUACCAACAGACAGCUGACUUGCAUUUUUUCGGUUGGGGCGACCUUGGAGAAAAACAUAUCCUCCAAAAACAAGACCACCCCUCUUGACUAAGAUCAACUACUCAAAGUGCUAACAGCAACCAGACCCAGCACAGCUGAGCAAUGAACCAAGCUACCCCAGGGAUAACAGCGCAAUCUCCUUCAAGAGCCCUUAUCGACAAGGAGGUUUAC
RNAcentral lists this ribosomal RNA (971 nucleotides) under Rallus elegans (king rail). Its description in RNAcentral is "partial 16S ribosomal RNA". It matches the Rfam family "Bacterial large subunit ribosomal RNA", at positions 848 to 2521 of the family's 2925-position model. Lineage: Eukaryota; Metazoa; Chordata; Aves; Gruiformes; Rallidae. The record is from RNAcentral.